This 119-nucleotide unclassified non-coding RNA is filed under the name uncultured Ascomycota. RNAcentral describes it as "sequence contains ITS1". The record is from RNAcentral. Lineage: Eukaryota; Fungi; Ascomycota.
CUGAAUGGCCCCUCGGGGCCUUCAACCCUUCAAACCUGUGGAAGCAAACUCCGUGCUUCGGCGCCGCGUGCGUCGCUUUUAUGCAGAAGGCUUUGCGUCUGAAUCAUAAACAAGAAUUA